AUACGUAGGGGGCGAGCGUUGUCCGGAAUGAUUGGGCGUAAAGGGCGCGUAGGCGGCCGCUUAAGUCUGGAGUGCAAGUCCUGUUUUCAAGAUGGGAAUUGCUUUGGAUACUGGGGGGCUUGAGUGCAGGAGAGGUUAUCGGAAUUCCCGGCGUAGCGGUGAAAUGCGUAGAGAUCGGGAGGAACACCAGUGGCGAAGGCGGGUAACUGGACUGCAACUGACGCUGAGGCGCGAAAGUGUGGGGAGCAAACAGGAUUAGAUACCCUGGUAGUCCACACUGUAAACGAUGAAUGCUAGGUGUAAGAGGUAUCGACCCCUUUUGUGCCGGAGUCAACACAAUAAGCAUUCCGCCUGGGGAGUACGGCCGCAAGGUUGAAACUCAAAUGAAUUGGCGGGG
This 397-nucleotide ribosomal RNA is filed under the name uncultured bacterium. RNAcentral's name for it is "partial 16S ribosomal RNA". It matches the Rfam family "Bacterial small subunit ribosomal RNA", at positions 523 to 918 of the family's 1533-position model. The record is from RNAcentral.